Molecule: ribosomal RNA, 460 nt
Filed under: uncultured bacterium
Lineage: Bacteria
Description: partial 16S ribosomal RNA
Rfam family: Bacterial small subunit ribosomal RNA
Source: RNAcentral
CCUACGGGAGGCUGCAGUGAGGAAUAUUGGUCAAUGGACGAGAGUCUGAACCAGCCAAGUAGCGUGAAGGAUGACUGCCCUACGGGUUGUAAACUUCUUUUAUAUGGGAAUAAAAUGUUCCACGUGUGGGAUUUUGUAUGUACCAUAUGAAUAAGGAUCGGCUAACUCCGUGCCAGCAGCCGCGGUAAUACGGAGGAUCCGAGCGUUAUCCGGAUUUAUUGGGUUUAAAGGGAGCGUAGGUGGAUUGUUAAGUCAGUUGUGAAAGUUUGCGGCUCAACCGUAAAAUUGCAGUUGAAACUGGCAGUCUGGAGUACAGUAGAGGUAGGCGGAAUUCGUGGUGUAGCGGUGAAAUGCUUAGAUAUCACGAAGAACUCCGAUUGCGAAGGCAGCUCACUGGACUGCAACUGACACUGAGGCUCGAAAGUGUGGGUAUCAAACAGGAUUAGAUACCCGAGUAGUC